Molecule: ribosomal RNA, 253 nt
Filed under: uncultured bacterium
Lineage: Bacteria
Description: partial 16S ribosomal RNA
Rfam family: Bacterial small subunit ribosomal RNA
Source: RNAcentral
UACGUAGGGUGCGAGCGUUAAUCGGAAUUACUGGGCGUAAAGCGUGCGCAGGCGGUUCGUUAAGUCAGCUGUGAAAGCCCCGGGCUCAACCUGGGAACUGCGGUUGAAACUGGCGAACUAGAAUCUGGCAGAGGGGGGUGGAAUUCCACGUGUAGCAGUGAAAUGCGUAGAGAUGUGGAAGAACACCGAUGGCGAAGGCAGCCCCCUGGGCUAAGAUUGACGCUCAGGCACGAAAGCGUGGGGAGCAAACAGG